GGUAUGUAAAGCUCUAUCAGCAGGGAAGAAAAAAUGACGGUACCUGACUAAGAAGCCCCGGCUAACUACGUGCCAGCAGCCGCGGUAAUACGUAGGGGGCAAGCGUUAUCCGGAUUUACUGGGUGUAAAGGGAGCGCAGGCGGUGCGGCAAGUCUGAUGUGAAAGCCCGGGGCUCAACCCCGGGACUGCAUUGGAAACUGUCGUACUUGAGUAUCGGAGAGGUAAGUGGAAUUCCUAGUGUAGCGGUGAAAUGCGUAGAUAUUAGGAGGAACACCAGUGGCGAAGGCGGCUUACUGGACGAUAACUGACGCUGAGGCUCGAAAGCGUGGGGAGCAAACAGGAUUAGAUACCCUGGUAGUCCACGCCGUAAA
RNAcentral lists this ribosomal RNA (371 nucleotides) under uncultured bacterium. RNAcentral's name for it is "bacterial SSU rRNA". It matches the Rfam family "Bacterial small subunit ribosomal RNA", at positions 420 to 806 of the family's 1533-position model. The record is from RNAcentral.